CAGCGUCUUCAGGGCGGGGCGAAAUUCCCCACCGGCGGUAGGCGUCCGAUGGACGCGAGCCCGCGAGCGCUCACGAUCGCCUCGUGAGGUCAGCAGAUCCGGUCGAAUGCCGGAGCCGACGGUUGGAAGCGGGCAGCCGUUUCCUCACAGUCCGGAUGAAAGAAGACGGUU
RNAcentral lists this non-coding RNA (171 nucleotides) under Rhodanobacter spathiphylli. RNAcentral's name for it is "Rhodanobacter sp. FMN sequence". It matches the Rfam family "FMN riboswitch aptamer (RFN element)". Rfam says of the family: The RFN element is a highly conserved domain that is found frequently in the 5'-untranslated regions of prokaryotic mRNAs that encode for flavin mononucleotide (FMN) biosynthesis and transport proteins. This element is a metabolite-dependent riboswitch that directly binds FMN in the absence of proteins. In Bacillus subtilis, the riboswitch most likely controls gene expression by causing premature transcription termination within the 5' untranslated region of the ribDEAHT operon and precluding access to the ribosome-binding site of ypaA mRNA. Lineage: Bacteria; Pseudomonadati; Pseudomonadota; Gammaproteobacteria; Lysobacterales; Rhodanobacteraceae. The record is from RNAcentral.